Molecule: non-coding RNA, 484 nt
Organism: Lactuca sativa (garden lettuce)
Lineage: Eukaryota; Viridiplantae; Streptophyta; Magnoliopsida; Asterales; Asteraceae
Source: RefSeq, a predicted model, not a curated record
UAUAGGUGUAUUUAUUUACUUUUUUCUUUGAUGAAGAACUUGAGCCUUAAGCAUUAAAAGUUUUCUAGUUUUCUCCUUGCUCCAUAUUUUUUUUCCCAGCACGUUUUUUUUUCCUUUGCUGUCUAUUUUCCUUCUUCGUUUGGUUUGCUUUCUUCCUGCUUUGUUUUGAUUCAUAAUAGCAGAUUAAAGCAAGCAAAUUAUCACUGUUUAAGAAGUUUAAACCAACAUCUUCUUAAUUCAUAUGCAUGCUCUUGGUGCGUUUUUUCUUUUUUUCCAAAAUUUUCUUCCAGCUCAAGCCAGAUAUCACGAGCAGUUACAUCAUACAUGACACUACUUCUAAUUUCUUUUUCCAUGGUUGUAACAAGCCAUCCUCUGAUCACCAAGGCAUUGCAUCUUUUCCAGUUCAUCAAUUCUCAUCAUGAAGGAGGUUGCUCCUACAAAGUUUUGUUCGGGAUGAUCUGUUGCUGUGAGGAAGUAAGGAGAG